AGCCAGACUCCUACGGGAGGCAGCAGUGAGGAAUAUUGGUCAAUGGCCGCAGGGCUGAACCAGCCAAGUCGCGUGAGGGAAGACGGCCCUACGGGUUGUAAACCUCUUUUGUCAGGGAGCAAGAGGCGGGUCGAGACCUGCUGUGAGAGUACCUGAAGAAAAAGCAUCGGCUAACUCCGUGCCAGCAGCCGCGGUAAUACGGAGGAUGCGAGCGUUAUCCGGAUUUAUUGGGUUUAAAGGGUGCGCAGGCGGAGGUGCAAGUCAGUGGUCAAAUUGCGGGGCUCAACCCCGUACUGCCGUUGAAACUGCAUCCCUUGAGCGCGCGAGAAGUAUGCGGAAUGCGUGGUGUAGCGGUGAAAUGCAUAGAUAUCACGCAGAACUCCGAUUGCGAAGGCAGCAUACCGGCGCGCAACUGACGCUCAUGCACGAAAGCGUGGGUAUCGAACAGGAUUAGAUACCCUAGUACCG
RNAcentral lists this ribosomal RNA (468 nucleotides) under uncultured bacterium. RNAcentral describes it as "bacterial SSU rRNA". It matches the Rfam family "Bacterial small subunit ribosomal RNA", at positions 329 to 797 of the family's 1533-position model. The record is from RNAcentral.